UGGGGAAUAUUGGACAAUGGGCGAAAGCCUGAUCCAGCCAUGCCGCGUGUGUGAAGAAGGUCUUCGGAUUGUAAAGCACUUUAAGUCGGGAGGAAGGGCAGUAAGCGAAUACCUUGCUGUUUUGACGUUACCGACAGAAUAAGCACCGGCUAACUCUGUGCCAGCAGCCGCGGUACUACAGAGGGUGCAAGCGUUAAUCGGAAUUACUGGGCGUAAAGCGCGCGUAGGUGGUUCGUUAAGUUGAAUGUGAAAGCCCCGGGCUCAACCUGGGAACUGCAUCCAAAACUGGCGAGCUAGAGUAGGGCAGAGUGUGGUGGAAUUUCCUGUGUAGCGGUGAAAUGCGUAGAUAUAGGAAGGAACACCAGUGGCUAAGGCGACCACCUGGGCUCAUACUGACACUGAGGUGCGAAAGCGUGGGGAGCAAACAGG
RNAcentral lists this ribosomal RNA (429 nucleotides) under Pseudomonadota bacterium. RNAcentral's name for it is "Proteobacteria bacterium partial 16S ribosomal RNA". It matches the Rfam family "Bacterial small subunit ribosomal RNA", at positions 355 to 776 of the family's 1533-position model. Lineage: Bacteria; Pseudomonadati; Pseudomonadota. The record is from RNAcentral.